Molecule: ribosomal RNA, 334 nt
Filed under: uncultured eukaryote
Lineage: Eukaryota
Description: partial 18S ribosomal RNA
Rfam family: Eukaryotic small subunit ribosomal RNA
Source: RNAcentral
CCCUUAGAUGUCCGGGGCCGCACGCGCGCUACACUGAAGGAAUCAGCGUGGCUUUCUCCCUGACCCGAAAGGGUUGGGAAACCCGUUGAAUCUCCUUCGUGAUAGGGAUUGGGGCUUGAAAUUGUUCCCCAUGAACGAGGAAUUCCCAGUAAGCGCGAGUCAUAAGCUCGCGAUGAUUACGUCCCUGCCCUUUGUACACACCGCCCGUCGCUACUACCGAUUGAACGGUUUAGUGAGGGCCUCGGAUUGGUCUCGGCCCGCUCUUUACCGGGCGGCGCCGUUGGUCGAGAAGACGCUCGAACUUGAUCGUUUAGAGGAAGUAAAAGUCGUAACA